Molecule: ribosomal RNA, 1308 nt
Filed under: Salmonella enterica
Lineage: Bacteria; Pseudomonadati; Pseudomonadota; Gammaproteobacteria; Enterobacterales; Enterobacteriaceae
Also listed under: 1 other name
Description: partial 23S ribosomal RNA
Rfam family: Bacterial large subunit ribosomal RNA
Source: RNAcentral
AGACCCGAAACCCGGUGAUCUAGCCAUGGGCAGGUUGAAGGUUGGGUAACACUAACUGGAGGACCGAACCGACUAAUGUUGAAAAAUUAGCGGAUGACCUGUGGCUGGGGGUGAAAGGCCAAUCAAACCGGGAGAUAGCUGGUUCUCCCCGAAAGCUAUUUAGGUAGCGCCUCGUGAAUUCAUCUCCGGGGGUAGAGCACUGUUUCGGCUAGGGGGCCAUCCCGGCUUACCAACCCGAUGCAAACUGCGAAUACCGGAGAAUGUUAUCACGGGAGACACACGGCGGGUGCUAACGUCCGUCGUGAAGAGGGAAACAACCCAGACCGCCAGCUAAGGUCCCAAAGUCAUGGUUAAGUGGGAAACGAUGUGGGAAGGCCCAGACAGCCAGGAUGUUGGCUUAGAAGCAGCCAUCAUUUAAAGAAAGCGUAAUAGCUCACUGGUCGAGUCGGCCUGCGCGGAAGAUGUAACGGGGCUAAACCAUGCACCGAAGCUGCGGCAGCGAACGUAUCACCCAAGACAACUUUACGGAGUUGACGAUUGACGGAGCGAAGCGACGUCAAAGCGUUCAUUAAAGUCGAGUUGGCUUAGGGAUACGUUCGUUGGGUAGGGGAGCGUUCUGUAAGCCUGUGAAGGUGUGUCGUGAGGCAUGCUGGAGGUAUCAGAAGUGCGAAUGCUGACAUAAGUAACGAUAAAGCGGGUGAAAAGCCCGCUCGCCGGAAGACCAAGGGUUCCUGUCCAACGUUAAUCGGGGCAGGGUGAGUCGACCCCUAAGGCGAGGCCGAAAGGCGUAGUCGAUGGGAAACGGGUUAAUAUUCCCGUACUUGGUGUUACUGCGAAGGGGGGACGGAGAAGGCUAUGUUGGCCGGGCGACGGUUGUCCCGGUUUAAGCGUGUAGGUGUGUGUUCCAGGUAAAUCCGGUUCACUUUAACACUGAGGCGUGACGACGAGGCACUACGGUGCUGAAGCAACAAAUGCCCUGCUUCCAGGAAAAGCCUCUAAGCAUCAGGUAACACGAAAUCGUACCCCAAACCGACACAGGUGGUCAGGUAGAGAAUACCAAGGCGCUUGAGAGAACUCGGGUGAAGGAACUAGGCAAAAUGGUGCCGUAACUUCGGGAGAAGGCACGCUGACACGUAGGUGAAGUGAUUUACUCAUGGAGCUGAAGUCAGUCGAAGAUACCAGCUGGCUGCAACUGUUUAUUAAAAACACAGCACUGUGCAAACACGAAAGUGGACGUAUACGGUGUGACGCCUGCCCGGUGCCGGAAGGUUAAUUGAUGGGGUCAGCGUAAGCGAAGCUCCUGAUCGA